RNAcentral lists this ribosomal RNA (2932 nucleotides) under Tetzosporium hominis. RNAcentral describes it as "bacterial LSU rRNA". It matches the Rfam family "Bacterial large subunit ribosomal RNA". The record is from RNAcentral. Lineage: Bacteria; Bacillati; Bacillota; Bacilli; Caryophanales; Caryophanaceae.
UUAGGUUAAGUUGAUAAGGGCGCACGGUGGAUGCCUUGGCACUAGGAGCCUAUGAAGGACGGCACUAACACCGAUAUGCUUCGGGGAGCUGUAAGUGAGCUUUGAUCCGGAGAUUUCCGAAUGGGGAAACCCAGCACGCGUAAUGGCGUGUUACCUUCCAGUGAAUACAUAGCUGGUCGGAGGCAGACCCAGGGAACUGAAACAUCUAAGUACCUGGAGGAAGAGAAAGAAAAAUCGAUUCCCUGAGUAGCGGCGAGCGAAACGGGAAGAGCCCAAACCAAGAGGCUUGCCUCUUGGGGUUGUAGGACACUCUAUACGGAGUUACAAAGGCAAGGGGUAGACGAAGCGGUCUGGAAAGGCCCACGACACGAGGUAACAGUCCUGUAGUCCAAACCCAUUGCCCUCCAGAGUGGAUCCUGAGUACGGCGGAACACGUGAAAUUCCGUCGGAAUCCGGGAGGACCAUCUCCCAAGGCUAAAUACUCCCUAGUGACCGAUAGUGAACCAGUACCGUGAGGGAAAGGUGAAAAGCACCCCGGAAGGGGAGUGAAAGAGAUCCUGAAACCGUGUGCCUACAAGUAGUUAGAGCCCGUUAAUGGGUGAUAGCGUGCCUUUUGUAGAAUGAACCGGCGAGUUACGAUUCCAUGCAAGGUUAAGUCGAGGAGACGGAGCCGCAGCGAAAGCGAGUCUGAACAGGGCGAAUGAGUAUGGGGUCGUAGACCCGAAACCAGGUGAUCUACCCAUGUCCAGGAUGAAGGUGAGGUAACACUCACUGGAGGUCCGAACCCACGCACGUUGAAAAGUGCGGGGAUGAGGUGUGGGUAGCGGAGAAAUUCCAAUCGAACCUGGAGAUAGCUGGUUCUCUCCGAAAUAGCUUUAGGGCUAGCCUCAGAUGUAGAAUCUCGGAGGUAGAGCACUGUUUGGACUAGGGGCCCAUCCCGGGUUACCGAAUUCAGACAAACUCCGAAUGCCGAUGAUUUGUAUCUGGGAGUCAGACUGCGAGUGAUAAGAUCCGUAGUCAAGAGGGAAACAGCCCAGACCACCAGCUAAGGUCCCCAAGUAACCGUUAAGUGGAAAAGGAUGUGGCGUUGCUUAGACAACCAGGAUGUUGGCUUAGAAGCAGCCAUCAUUUAAAGAGUGCGUAAUAGCUCACUGGUCGAGUGACGCUGCGCCGAAAAUGUAUCGGGGCUAAACGGUUCACCGAAGCUGUGGAUGCAUACCUAGGGUAUGCGUGGUAGGAGAGCGUUCUAAGGGCUGUGAAGCCUGACCGGAAGGACAGGUGGAGCGCUUAGAAGUGAGAAUGCCGGUAUGAGUAGCGAAAGAUGGGUGAGAAUCCCAUCCACCGUAUGACCAAGGUUUCCUGAGGAAGGCUCGUCCGCUCAGGGUCAGUCGGGACCUAAGUCGAGGCCGAUAGGCGUAGACGAUGGACAACAGGUUGAUAUUCCUGUACCACCUCCCCGCCAUUUGAGUGAUGGGGGGACGCAGUAGGAUAGGGAAGCGUGCGGCUGGAAGUGCACGUUCAAGCAGUGAGGAGUGAUGUGAGGCAAAUCCCGCAUCUGACACUCUGGGCUGUGAUGAGGAGGACGUAUGUCCGAAGUUUCUGAUUUCACGCUGCCAAGAAAAGCCUCUAGCGAGGCGGGAGGUGCCCGUACCGCAAACCGACACAGGUGGUCGAGGAGAGAAUCCUAAGGUGAGCGAGUGAACUCUCGUUAAGGAACUCGGCAAAAUGACCCCGUAACUUCGGGAGAAGGGGUGCUCUGACAGGGUGAAAGCCCGAGAGAGCCGCAGUGAAUAGGCCCAGGCGACUGUUUAGCAAAAACACAGGUCUCUGCAAAACCGUAAGGUGACGUAUAGGGGCUGACGCCUGCCCGGUGCUGGAAGGUUAAGAGGAGUGCUUAGCGCAAGCGAAGGUGCGAAUUGAAGCCCCAGUAAACGGCGGCCGUAACUAUAACGGUCCUAAGGUAGCGAAAUUCCUUGUCGGGUAAGUUCCGACCCGCACGAAAGGCGUAACGAUCUGGGCACUGUCUCAACGAGAGACUCGGUGAAAUUAUAGUACCUGUGAAGAUGCAGGUUACCCGCGACAGGACGGAAAGACCCCGUGGAGCUUUACUGUAGCCUGAUAUUGAACUUUGGUGCAACUUGUACAGGAUAGGUAGGAGCCUAAGAGCCCGGAGCGCCAGCUUCGGAGGAGGCGUCGGUGGGAUACUACCCUGGUUGUAUUGAAGUUCUAACCCAUGCCCCUCAUCGGGGCAGGAGACAGUGUCAGGCGGACAGUUUGACUGGGGCGGUCGCCUCCUAAAGUGUAACGGAGGCGCCCAAAGGUUCCCUCAGAAUGGUUGGAAAUCAUUCGUAGAGUGUAAAGGCAUAAGGGAGCUUGACUGCGAGACCUACAAGUCGAGCAGGGUCGAAAGACGGGCUUAGUGAUCCGGUGGUUCCGCAUGGAAGGGCCAUCGCUCAACGGAUAAAAGCUACCCCGGGGAUAACAGGCUUAUCUCCCCCAAGAGUCCACAUCGACGGGGAGGUUUGGCACCUCGAUGUCGGCUCAUCGCAUCCUGGGGCUGUAGUCGGUCCCAAGGGUUGGGCUGUUCGCCCAUUAAAGCGGUACGCGAGCUGGGUUCAGAACGUCGUGAGACAGUUCGGUCCCUAUCCGUCGUGGGCGUAGGAAAUUUGAGAGGAGCUGUCCUUAGUACGAGAGGACCGGGAUGGACACACCGCUGGUGUACCAGUUGUCUUGCCAAAGGCAUCGCUGGGUAGCUAUGUGUGGACGGGAUAAGUGCUGAAAGCAUCUAAGCAUGAAGCCCCCCUCAAGAUGAGAUUUCCCAUUACGCAAGUAAGUAAGAUCCCUCAAAGACGAUGAGGUAGAUAGGUUCGGGGUGGAAGCACGGCGACGUGUGGAGCUGACGAAUACUAAUCGAUCGAGGACUUAACCAAAA